RNAcentral lists this ribosomal RNA (435 nucleotides) under Protancylus pileolus. Its description in RNAcentral is "partial large subunit ribosomal RNA". The record is from RNAcentral. Lineage: Eukaryota; Metazoa; Mollusca; Gastropoda; Protancylidae.
AGUUUAAAGUAAUUAUUUUAAAUGAAUCCUGCCCAGUGAAAAUUUUUAAAUGGCCGCAGUACCCUGACUGUGCAAAGGUAGCAUAAUCAAUUGGCUUUUAAUUGAAGUCUGGAAUGAAUGGAAAUUUGAAAAAAUACUGUCUUAAAAAUAUUUUAUUGAAUUUAAUUAUUAGGUGAAAAUACCUAUUUAUUUUAAGAAAAAAGACGAGAAGACCCUUAGAAUUUUAAUAAUAUUAAAAUUAUUAAUUUAUUUUUGUUGGGGCGACAAUUAAACAAUUAAACCUUAAUUUUAAAUAAAACGAAAUUGUUAUAAAAGAAUAAAUUACCUUAGGGAUAACAGCAUAAUUUAAUUUUAAGUUUGUGACCUCGAUGUUGGACUAGGAACUUUAUGACUAGCAGUCAGAAUAGAUUUGUUCUGUUCGAACAAUAAAAUCCU